This 579-nucleotide ribosomal RNA is filed under the name uncultured Actinomycetes bacterium. Its description in RNAcentral is "bacterial SSU rRNA". It matches the Rfam family "Bacterial small subunit ribosomal RNA", at positions 790 to 1368 of the family's 1533-position model. Lineage: Bacteria; Bacillati; Actinomycetota; Actinomycetes. The record is from RNAcentral.
GUAGUCCACGCCGUAAACGUUGGGCACUAGGUGUGGGACCCUAUCGACGGGAUCCGUGCCGUAGCUAACGCAUUAAGUGCCCCGCCUGGGGAGUACGGCCGCAAGGCUAAAACUCAAAGGAAUUGACGGGGGCCCGCACAAGCGGCGGAGCAUGUUGCUUAAUUCGAUGCAACGCGAAGAACCUUACCUAGGCUUGACAUGCACCGAAAAGCCACAGAGAUGUGGUGUCCUUCGGGGCGGUGCACAGGUGGUGCAUGGUUGUCGUCAGCUCGUGUCGUGAGAUGUUGGGUUAAGUCCCGCAACGAGCGCAACCCUUGUCCUAUGUUGCCAGCGGGUAAUGCCGGGGACUCGUAGGAGACUGCCGGGGUCAACUCGGAGGAAGGUGGGGAUGACGUCAAAUCAUCAUGCCCCUUACGUCUAGGGCUGCAAACAUGCUACAAUGGCCGGUACAAAGGGCUGCUAUCCCGCGAGGGUGAGCGAAUCCCAAAAAGCCGGUCUCAGUUCGGAUUGGAGUCUGCAACUCGACUCCAUGAAGUCGGAGUCGCUAGUAAUCCCGGAUCAGCACUGCCGGGGUGAAUA